This 68-nucleotide transfer RNA is filed under the name Atelura formicaria. RNAcentral's name for it is "tRNA-Leu". Lineage: Eukaryota; Metazoa; Arthropoda; Insecta; Zygentoma; Nicoletiidae. The record is from RNAcentral.
UCUAUUAUGGCAGAAUAGUGCAAUGGACUUAAGAUCCAUAUAUAAGGAACAAUACUCCUUUUCUAGAA